This is a long non-coding RNA of Electrophorus electricus (electric eel), 721 nucleotides long. RefSeq lists it as uncharacterized. Lineage: Eukaryota; Metazoa; Chordata; Actinopteri; Gymnotiformes; Gymnotidae. The record is from RefSeq and is a predicted model, not a curated record.
GGCCGAUUAGACGUCGGACAGUUCCAAGGGGAGGAGAAGAAGAGGGGAGAGGAGCGAAGGAUAGCGGAAAGGAAAGAGGGAGGGAAAGCGAGAGGACUCCUCCGGGGUGCAUGAAGAGGUCAUCCCAGCUGUUCCUCCCUCUCUGCAUUAAGGAGAGAGGCUGAGGGGCUGUGAAAAAAAAAUUUGCAGUGGAUGCUGGCAUCUGUAAUCCAGCCUGUGCCACUUGGCCUGCGUAAGAGGCACCAGAGAAAUAUAAUUACUGCCUUAAUGUUGGCGUUAACCACUGGCAAGACACUUAAGCCAAGCAGACGGAGACAGAGCGAGGGGUGCCGAAGCAGAAGGGGAGAGGAGCGCCAACGCUCGGAGAGAGUUCGGAACGGCAGACGGGAACAAGACGGGCGACGGAGACGGCCGCGGAGCCAGAGCCCCCGUGGGGAGCGUGUUGGCCAGUUGGGAUUGCCGGUGCCAACGCUAUUGCUCAGAGGGAUGCAGCUCCAGGUGACGGAGGUCGUAACCCCCGGAGCAGGCGCUCAGUGUGGCGUAACCAUGCUGAAAGAGCAGCAAAAGAAAAACAAAGAUCAGUGACCUGGUGAGAGUAACAGAUAACCUAAGAGGUCGGCCACCCCAGUGAAACAUCAACCACAAAACAGAACUUUUCCUUAAUGUAAAAACAGGGAUAAGCACCUUUAACACCAAAUAUCUUACAGAUUUCUUUUUAGAA